This 440-nucleotide ribosomal RNA is filed under the name uncultured bacterium. RNAcentral describes it as "partial 16S ribosomal RNA". It matches the Rfam family "Bacterial small subunit ribosomal RNA", at positions 338 to 795 of the family's 1533-position model. The record is from RNAcentral.
CCUACGGGUGGCAGCAGUGGGGAAUAUUGGACAAUGGGGGAAACCCUGAUCCAGCGACGCCGCGUGAGUGAAGAAGUAUUUCGGUACGUAAAGCUCUAUCAGCAGGGAAGAAAAUGACGGUACCUGACUAAGAAGCCACGGCUAACUACGUGCCAGCAGCCGCGGUAAUACGUAGGGGGCAAGCGUUAUCCGGAUUUACUGGGUGUAAAGGGAGCGUAGACGGCAGCGCAAGUCUGGAGUGAAAUGCCGGGGCUCAACCCCGGAACUGCACUGGAAACUGUGAGGCUUGAGUGCAGGAGAGGAUAGUGGAAGUCCUGGUGUAGCGGUGAAAUGCGUAGAUAUAAGGAGGAACACCGGCGGCGAAGGCGGCUGACUGGACUGUAACUGACGUUGAGGCUCGAAGGCGUGGGGAGCAAACAGGAUUAGAUACCCCUGUAGUC